GGUGAGAUGGCCGAGCGGUCUAAGGCGCCAGACUAAGGUGAUCUCGACGUACAUCUUCUCAUCUGGUCUCUUCGGGGGCGGGAGUUCGAAUCUCCCUCUCAUCA
Non-coding RNA from Tephrocybe sp. NHM501043, 104 nucleotides. Lineage: Eukaryota; Fungi; Basidiomycota; Agaricomycetes; Agaricales; Lyophyllaceae. The record is from the annotation of a GenBank genome assembly.